Molecule: ribosomal RNA, 468 nt
Filed under: uncultured bacterium
Lineage: Bacteria
Description: partial 16S ribosomal RNA
Rfam family: Bacterial small subunit ribosomal RNA
Source: RNAcentral
GACGAACGCUGGCGGCGUGCUUAAUACAUGCAAGUCGAACGGAAAGGCCCUGCUCUUGUGGGGUGCUCGAGUGGCGAAGGGGGGAGUAACACGUGAGUAACCCCCCCUUGACUUUGGGAUAACUUCAGGAAACUGGGGCUCAUACCGGAUAGGAUCUCCUGCUGCAUGGUGGGCGUUGGAAAGAUUCGGCGGUUCGGGAUGGACUCGCGGCUUAUCAGCUGCUUGGUGGGGUAGUGGAUUACCAGGGCUUUGACGGGUAGCCGGCCUGAGAGGGGGACCGGCGACAUUGGUACUGAGAGACGGCCCAGACGCCUACGGGCGGCAGAGGUGGAGAGUAUUGCGCAAUGGGCGGAAGCCUGAUGCGGCAGCGCCGCGUUCGGGAUGACGUCCUUCGAGUUGUAAACCGCUUUCGCCUGUGACGAAGCGUGAGUGACGGUAAUGGGUAAAGAAGCCCCGGCUAACUACGUG